This 75-nucleotide transfer RNA is filed under the name Sporosarcina pasteurii. RNAcentral's name for it is "tRNA-Arg(tct)". It matches the Rfam family "tRNA". Rfam says of the family: Transfer RNA (tRNA) molecules are approximately 80 nucleotides in length. Their secondary structure includes four short double-helical elements and three loops (D, anti-codon, and T loops). Further hydrogen bonds mediate the characteristic L-shaped molecular structure. tRNAs have two regions of fundamental functional importance: the anti-codon, which is responsible for specific mRNA codon recognition, and the 3' end, to which the tRNAs corresponding amino acid is attached (by aminoacyl-tRNA synthetases). tRNAs cope with the degeneracy of the genetic code in two manners: having more than one tRNA (with a specific anti-codon) for a particular amino acid; and 'wobble' base-pairing, i.e. permitting non-standard base-pairing at the 3rd anti-codon position. The record is from RNAcentral. Lineage: Bacteria; Bacillati; Bacillota; Bacilli; Caryophanales; Caryophanaceae.
GUCCCAGUAGCUCAGCUGGAUAGAGCAACAGCCUUCUAAGCUGUGGGUCAGGGGUUCGAAUCCCUUCUGGGACGC